UCUCCGUAGGUGAACCUGCGGAGGGAUCAUUACCGAGCGAGGGCUCCGGCCCGACCUCCAACCCACUGAAGUUACCAACCCUGUUGCCUCGGGGGUGACCCGGCCCCCGCGUCGGGGCCCCCGGUGGACCUAUCAACUCUGCAUCUUUGCGUCUGAGUAAAUAUUGAAUCAAUCAAAACUUUCAACUACGGAUCUCUUGGUUCUGGCAUCGAUGAAGAACGCAGC
This 225-nucleotide unclassified non-coding RNA is filed under the name uncultured fungus. RNAcentral describes it as "sequence contains ITS1, 5.8S rRNA gene". The stretch from base 177 to 225 matches the Rfam family "5.8S ribosomal RNA", at positions 1 to 49 of the family's 154-position model. The record is from RNAcentral. Lineage: Eukaryota; Fungi.